AACGAACGCUGGCGGCAUGCCUAACACAUGCAAGUCGAACGAGACCUUCGGGUCUAGUGGCGCACGGGUGCGUAACGCGUGGGAACCUGCCCUUAGGUUCGGAAUAACUCCCCGAAAGGGGUGCUAAUACCGGAUAAUGUCUUCGGACCAAAGAUUUAUCGCCUUUGGAUGGGCCCGUGUUGGAUUAGCUAGUUGGUAGGGUAAAAGCCUACCAAGGCGACGAUCCAUAGCUGGUCUGAGAGGAUGAUCAGCCACACUGGGACUGAGACACGGCCCAGACUCCUACGGGAGGCAGCAGUGGGGAAUAUUGGACAAUGGGCGAAAGCCUGAUCCAGCCAUGCCGCGUGAGUGAUGAAGGCCUUAGGGUUGUAAAGCUCUUUUACCCGGGAUGAUAAUGACAGUACCGGGAGAAUAAGCUCCGGCUAACUCCGUG
This 433-nucleotide ribosomal RNA is filed under the name uncultured bacterium. RNAcentral describes it as "partial 16S ribosomal RNA". It matches the Rfam family "Bacterial small subunit ribosomal RNA", at positions 29 to 507 of the family's 1533-position model. The record is from RNAcentral.